UGGCCGGGCAAUUCUCCGGGUGAAUCGGGCCGCCCAACGGUCCGAAUUCCGGAGACACUGCUCGGCUUGGGAUCGGGAGAGGGUGAAGGUACUCCCGGGGUAGGGGUAAAAUCCUGUAAUCCUGGGGGGACCACCAGUGGCGAAGGCGUUCACCUAGAACGAAUCCGACAGUGAGGGACGAAGCCCUAGGGCGCAAACGGGAUUAGAUACCCCGGUAGUCUAGGGUGUAAACUCUGCAGACUUGGUGUUGGGGGUCCUGCGUGGGCUCCCAGUGCCGGAGCGAAGGUGUUAAGUCUGCCGCUUGGGGAGUAUGGUCGCAAGACUGAAACUUAAAGGAAUUGGCGGGAGAGCACCGCAACGGGAGGAGCGUGCGGUUCAAUUGGAUUCAACGCCGGAAAACUCACCGGGGGCGACGGAGGGAUGAAAGCCAGGCCGAAGACCUUGCCCGAUUCUCCGAGAGGUGGUGCAUGGCCGUCGUCAGUUCGUACCGUAAGGCGUUCUGUUAAGUCAGAUAACGAACGAGACCCUCGCCCUUAGUCGCGAUUUCACGAGCGAUCGUGAGAGCACACUAGGGGGAUCGCUGCCGCUAAGGCUGAGGAAGGAGAGGUCUACGGUAGGUCCGCA
This 624-nucleotide ribosomal RNA is filed under the name uncultured Thermoplasmatales archaeon. RNAcentral describes it as "bacterial SSU rRNA". It matches the Rfam family "Archaeal small subunit ribosomal RNA", at positions 526 to 1151 of the family's 1478-position model. Lineage: Archaea; Methanobacteriati; Thermoplasmatota; Thermoplasmata; Thermoplasmatales. The record is from RNAcentral.